RNAcentral lists this non-coding RNA (232 nucleotides) under Paenibacillus sp. RNAcentral's name for it is "T-box sequence". It matches the Rfam family "T-box leader". Rfam says of the family: Uncharged tRNA acts as the effector for transcription antitermination of genes in the T-box leader family. Lineage: Bacteria; Bacillati; Bacillota; Bacilli; Caryophanales; Paenibacillaceae. The record is from RNAcentral.
UUAAACGCAAGGAUUGGGAGUAUUAAGGAUGAGUAUUGCUCAGAGAACUGUCGUUUCGGUGCGAGACAGUCAAUAGCUUCCCCAACUCACCCAUGAGCGGUAAGGCUGAAACCAGCAGGUUUAGGUCUUAACGGUUAACCUCCGUCAUUUGGUUCUAAGAUGGUUCGUUAACGUUCGGAAACAAACGAAUCAAAAAGAGUGGUACCGCGAAGGGAAACCUGUCGCCUCUUUG